AUUGAACGCUGGCGGCAUGCCUUACACAUGCAAGUCGAACGGCAGCACGGGAGCAAUCCUGGUGGCGAGUGGCGAACGGGUGAGUAAUAUAUCGGAACGUGCCCAGUCGUGGGGAUAACGUAGCGAAAGCUACGCUAAUACCGCAUACGAUCUAUGGAUGAAGGCGGGGGAUCGCAAGACCUCGCGCGAUUGGAGCGGCCGAUAUCAGAUUAGGUAGUUGGUGAGGUAAAGGCUCACCAAGCCGACGAUCUGUAGCUGGUCUGAGAGGACGACCAGCCACACUGGGACUGAGACACGGCCCAGACUCCUACGGGAGGCAGCAGUGGGGAAUUUUGGACAAUGGGCGCAAGCCUGAUCCAGCAAUGCCGCGUGCAGGAUGAAGGCCUCGGUGUAACUGCUUUGUACGG
RNAcentral lists this ribosomal RNA (407 nucleotides) under uncultured bacterium. Its description in RNAcentral is "bacterial SSU rRNA". It matches the Rfam family "Bacterial small subunit ribosomal RNA", at positions 30 to 442 of the family's 1533-position model. The record is from RNAcentral.